Molecule: long non-coding RNA, 569 nt
Organism: Fundulus heteroclitus (mummichog)
Lineage: Eukaryota; Metazoa; Chordata; Actinopteri; Cyprinodontiformes; Fundulidae
Exons: 2
Source: RefSeq, a predicted model, not a curated record
CACACAAACACUGAACCUGGGUCUGCGCUUGUGAUUGGUUGAGAGGAUGUAGUGACUGUAGUAUCAAUCCACAUGAUAGGCUGGAAUGGUAAACUGUUAUUCUAUUGAACUUUGUAGUGACCCUUUUUCUUCUAUCGAUAGAUAUAUACGGUUACUGAAUUCUCGUCCAGCCCUAGAAGAAAUACCUGUUUCUGCUAUACUGAAGGAUCAGAGCACAGCCAAAAUGGAAAAGAUUCAGCGGAUCUGCUCCGUAGUGGUCAAGGAAGGACUAAAGGAAUUGCAGCUGAAAAAAGACAGACAUGUUCAGAAGAAGUCAAAGUUUGGCAAAGAUCGCAUUGCCUGGCCAAAAGAGAAAUGGUGCACCUUCUUAUCGGAUCUAGGUGUACCAUAGGAGAGUUUAACCAUUACUGCCUGACGGAGAAGUCGGAUCCUUCAAGAAAAUCUACAUUUUUAUGUGUGAUCCUCCGUUUUUGUCCCAGUAGAUGAUUGAUACACACCGAGUGGACACGACAACAACAACUAAUUUAUGUACAAAAAAUGCUUUCUUGAUUAAUAAACCAAGAAAUAUC